CCUACGGGAGGCUGCAGUCGAGAAUCUUCCGCAAUGGGGGAAACCCUGACGGAGCGACGCCGCGUGCAGGAUGAAGGCCCUCGGGUCGUAAACUGCUGUCACACGUUAUGAACAAGCGCGGGCUAAUACCCCGCGCCCUGACAAAGGCGUGAAAGGAAGCCACGGCUAACUUCGUGCCAGCAGCCGCGGUAAGACGAAGGUGGCGAGCGUUGCUCGGAAUCACUGGGCAUAAAGCGCGCGUAGGUGGUCACGCAAGCGAGGGAUGAAAUCCCAUGGCUCACCCAUGGAACGGUUUCUCGAACUGCGUGGCUCGAGGGCGGGAGGGGAGAAUGGAAUUCCCGGUGUAGCGGUGAAAUGCGUAGAUAUCGGGAGGAACGCCGGUGGCGAAAGCGAUUCUCUGGCCCGUUCCUGACACUGAGGCGCGAAAGCUAGGGGAGCAA
RNAcentral lists this ribosomal RNA (440 nucleotides) under uncultured bacterium. RNAcentral describes it as "bacterial SSU rRNA". It matches the Rfam family "Bacterial small subunit ribosomal RNA", at positions 338 to 771 of the family's 1533-position model. The record is from RNAcentral.